This 516-nucleotide ribosomal RNA is filed under the name uncultured bacterium. RNAcentral describes it as "partial 16S ribosomal RNA". It matches the Rfam family "Bacterial small subunit ribosomal RNA", at positions 28 to 523 of the family's 1533-position model. The record is from RNAcentral.
GAUGAACGCUGGCGGCGUGCCUAAUACAUGCAAGUCGAACGCAUUGAGAGAAGUGCUUGCACUUUUCAAUUUGAGUGGCGAACGGGUGAGUAGCACGUGGGCAACCUACCUGAUAGCGGGGGAUAACGAGUGGAAACAUUCGCUAAUACCGCAUAACAAUAGAGAAGGCAUCUUCUUUAUUUAAAAGGCGCUUUCAAGCGUCACUAUCAGAUGGGCCCGCGGUGCAUUAGUUAGUUGGUGGGGUGAAGGCCUACCAAGACGAUGAUGCAUAGCCGAGUUGAGAGACUGAUCGGCCACAUUGGGACUGAGACACGGCCCAAACUCCUACGGGAGGCCGCAGUAGGGAAUCUUCCACAAUGGACGAAAGUCUGAUGGAGCAACGCCGCGUGUGUGAUGAAGGCUUUCGGGUCGUAAAGCACUGUUGUAUGGGAAGAAAUGCUAGGCUAGGAAAUGAGCUUAGUUUGACGGUACCAUACCAGAAAGGGACGGCUAAAUACGUGCCAGCCGCCGCGGUAA